RNAcentral lists this ribosomal RNA (238 nucleotides) under uncultured bacterium. RNAcentral describes it as "partial 16S ribosomal RNA". It matches the Rfam family "Bacterial small subunit ribosomal RNA", at positions 96 to 334 of the family's 1533-position model. The record is from RNAcentral.
CGGCGGACGGGUGAGUAACGCGUGGGUAACCUGCCUCAUACAGGGGGAUAACAGUUGGAAACGGCUGCUAAUACCGCAUAAGCGCACAGUACCGCAUGGUACGGUGUGAAAAACUCCGGUGGUAUGAGAUGGACCCGCGUCUGAUUAGGUAGCUGGUGGGGUAACGGCCUACCAAGCCGACGAUCAGUAGCCGACCUGAGAGGGUGACCGGCCACAUUGGGACUGAGACACGGCCCAG